AAUAACACAACACAAUGAGAAACCGCUUUUAGAAAUUGACCUGCGACAUAAUUACGAAAAGGGAAUUUAUUUCCAUGGCAAUACGUUUCGAAUUUGAAUGUACCGAUGCUGGGUGAAGAAUAGUUUGGACUAUUAAAAUAAUAAUAAUAAAAUAAACAAAAUCCGUAACGAGAAGGGAUUUUGCUUUUUUAUUUUUCAAGUAUUUAUGUUUGAAAUGACAGUAGAUGCUACGGGGAGGGUGUCUGGGCGGUAACAUUAGCCUCGGUGUAGCAGCACGCUGCCUUUUUGCAAGAAGCUUGGCAUUUGCAGCUCGACUUUAACGAACACACACACACACACACACACACACACACACGUGCUCACGUAGACAGAGAGGUGAAGGAAGCCAUCUGAUGAGGGAAGUGGGGAUGGGAUGAGGAUAGGGAGCGCGCAGCGGCUACACUGGACAGUGAUGGACAGGGAGGGAGAUGUAGCAGAGGAGACCGCUCUGUCCAACACGCACAUCUCUCUGAUCUGAUGUGAUUUUUUAUUUUUUUUUUUAUUUUUUUAAAAAGAAAAAUCAUGAGAAGUUUACGAAGACUCGCCCAUGUAGUCCUUUUCUGCCCAUUACCCAAAGGACUGCAGAGUCGUCUCCCAGCCAUUAAGGUCAAGUACCUGUUCUUGGCAUGGCUGGGUAUCCUGGUGGGAAGCUGGGCAGUCUACAUGCACUAUUCCUCCUACUCUGAACUCUGCAGGGGUCACGUCUGUCAGAUGGUCAUUUGUGACCACUACAGAAGGGGCAUCAUCUCAGGAUCAUCCUGCAAGGCCCAGUGUGAAGAUAAUACCCUGAUUCUUCAGCACUGCAUGUCCUCCACCCCCAACCACCAGGUAUACAGUGGAGUUUGGAAUGAGAAGUCUGUUGUCAUAAAGUGUGGUAUCAAAGAAACAGGGAGAGGCGACAGCAGUCCAGACUCCAUGCUCCGACGAGAGAUGACACUCUUCGAAAAGCCAGCACGAGGCACGUCCAUGGAUGAGUUCCGGGGAAUGCUUCACAACUUUCUCAAGUCAAAUCUAGGAGAGCAGCCUUCUAUAGGGACUCUGGUGGGACAUGUCAUUACCUUAGCGGAUGUCAACAAGGAUGGGAGAGUAUCUUUAGCGGAGGCCAAGUCAGUGUGGGCGCUUCUGCAGGUCAACGAAUUCCUCCUGAUGAUGGCGCUACACGAGAAGGAGCACACACCGAAGCUGCUCGGUUUCUGCGGCGAUCUCUAUGUGACGGAUCACCUGGAUCACAGUUCUCUCUACAGUCUAGUUGUCCCAAAUUACCUGCAGUCGCUGGUCCCCCAGGCCCUGAGCACUAGCGUAAACCGGUGGCUGGCACCGGCAUGGCCUCGCCGUGCCCGCAUCACAAUUGGCCUCCUGGAGUUUGUGGAAGAAGUGUUCCAUGGCUCUUACGGGAGCUUCUUCAUGUGCGAUGCCAGCGCACACCACGUGGGUUACAAUAACAAGUACGACUGCAAAAUGGCCGACCUGCGCAGCGUGGUGCCCGAGAUGUCGGUUCAGGGUUUCCUCAAGGGACGCCGCUGUGAGACCAAUGCCGACUGCACGUACGGCAGGGACUGCACCGCCACAUGUGACAAGCUCAUCAAGCAGUGCAACACCGAGGUGGUGCAGCCCAACCUGGCCAAAGUUUGCCGACUGCUCCGGGACUACCUGCUGUUCGGGGCACCUCAUGAUCUGCGGCUGGACUUGGAGAAGCAGCUUCGCACCUGCAUGACCCUCAGCGGCCUGGCCAGUCAGAUGGAGGUUCACCACUCCUUGGUGCUCAACAACCUGAAGACCUUGCUGUGGAAAAAGAUCUCCAACACACAGUACUCCUGAAGAAACGGGCCGUGUCUGAGAGACUAAAGUAGUGAUGUUUCUGGACUUGUUCUAAAAAUGAUACGAGGAACAGAAAACCGUAAUGACAAAAAGUGACAUGGACUGAAAAGAAAAUUUUCUGCUCUGUGGCUUUCAAAAGACUUUUUAAUGACAGCAUUGGUUCCAUUGAAGUCACAGCAGAACGAACUCUACAAGAGGGAUUUGUCAUCUUGGGUAACUCUUAGACUGGAUCUCUCUGAGAAAGAGUACAGCAAUGUAUAACCUCACUAUUUUUGAACCGAAUCAUUUGGGAUGAGAUUGUCAACGACUGUCAAAGAUAGAUGAUUCGUUAGACCCUCCAAAGUCUGUUAUACAACACUCUCAGGGCUGUGUGUGAGUGACAGAAUUAUUCAUUGUACUUGAGCACUUAGGCUUUAUAGUUGACACACUGGACAAAGCUUUCAGAGCAAAGCGUUUGACCUUAAGUCCCCCCGACACCCUAGAACGCUUGCUGGUGAAGUGUAGCGUCUCAGUAAGCGUGUGCGUACCUGCGUGUGUGACGGAGCAAGAGAGAGACGGCAGAAGACUUUUAAACUUCUUUCCAUGGGACGCAAUACUCAAUGAAUCACUGUUGAGAAGCGCUUUGGAAAAAGCUCUAAGAUGGAUUUGUCUUUCCGUUAGCGCACAAUGUUAAUUCGUUUGUUCCGUGAGGCUGCAUUCGGACUCUGUUACUAAACACCGCGGACCUGAGAUCGUCACAGAUGUCAGCUCUGAGUCAAGGAAAAAUGCGCCUAGAUGAGUCACACGGAUGGUCUGCAUACUGUAGCGCGUAUCUGGCGCCAGGGUUCUGGGGCUGGGCGACAUUUGCGAGGCAAGAAUGUGAAAACUGUGAAGUGUUUGCUGGAAAUGAGAAGUGUGUGUUUUGAAGCGGAGCGUUGCUCACCGGCGAGGACCGAGCAUUCAGCAGUGGUGAAGAUCCACUAAUAAACAAAACACGGUCUUUGUACAAGAGUUGUUUGCGAUCGUCUGAAUGUCCGCGUCACUCUACUCUUUCCUUUUGCCGAGGCGGCACGGUCGAAGAAGUUUGCCACACCUGUGCUUGUGCGCUUAAGGGCACCGAAGUGGCACGUGGAACUUUUGGGUACUCCAGCAUCAGACAUCUCAGACUUCCUUCCCAGAAUGCUGACAGUCACUUUCACUUGACUGAACACUGAAAUGCUGCCCUUGCCCAUUCAUUCCCAGAUCACAUUAGUUACUAAAUGCUGCAGAAAUGCUGGCACGGCCACUUUCGCAUCAGGUGAAAAGCUGCAGGGUAGCAGCACUUAAAACUCGGUAGAAGUGUUCCUUUCAGACGUGGCUUCACAUAAUGGUUUUGGCCUAAAUUAACCUAAAUCGCCACAUGUCAAAUAAUACGUCGAAUAAACUGAAGAAAUUGUAAGUUGCUUUGGACAAAAAGUGUCUGUUGCACAGCAGAACAAUACUAUAACAAUGACAGUUGAUAUUUUUGCAAGGUGUGGAUUCUUUUGGGGGAUGCAGAGCCUCGCAGCUCUUCCGUCCUCGAUGGGUGUGGGUUCAAAUCACUCACAGAACACGCUUCUCCUAGGCUUGCUCCUGACUAACAUGCAUGGAAGAAGGCCCUGACAAACUGCUUCUGUUCCUCCCUUGCCUAAAAACCACACAAGAUGUUGCAGAGAACUGGAUUUAACUUGCUGGCACUUCCACGCAUAUAGAUUCUUUUAGCAUCAACAUGCUUUGGCCUUAAGGGUGGCAUGGUUUUCCCAAACAGCUCCUGGGCUUUGGCUUGGAAUCUGGCUCAGGCUCUGCGGAGUUUUCAUGCACCAGCUUCCUCCCCUGGUCCAAAGACAUGGGUUUCAGGCCUUCGCCGAGAGCGCAGCCAACAGCAGCGUCGGAACGGAGAGCCUGCAGCGCACAGACAACAGCGACAACAGCGACAACACUGACACCUACUGGCUAGAAACAGUAGUACCACCACGUCCGCAGAAGAAAGCGGGUCGAUUAGAAAGAAAUAAGGAUCGCAU
RNA transcript from Scleropages formosus (Asian bonytongue), 3875 nucleotides. It is a transcript of the gene named divergent protein kinase domain 1B-like, with no coding region annotated. NCBI's taxonomy places the organism in Eukaryota, Metazoa, Chordata, Actinopteri, Osteoglossiformes, Osteoglossidae. The record is from RefSeq and is a predicted model, not a curated record. The transcript is spliced from 6 exons.